AUACGUAGGUGGCAAGCGUUGUCCGGAAUUAUUGGGCGUAAAGCGCGCGCAGGUGGUUCCUUAAGUCUGAUGUGAAAGCCCCCGGCUCGAACGGGGAGGGUCAUUGGAAACUGGGGAACUUGAGUGCAGAAGAGGAUAGUGGCAUUCCAAGUGUAGCGGUGACAUGCGUAGAGAUUUGGAGGAACACCAGUGGCGAAGGCGUCUGUCUGGUCUGUAACUGACACUGAGGCGCGAAAGCGUGGGGAGCAAACAGGAUUAGAUACCCUGGUAGUCCACGCCGUAAACGAUGAGUGCUAAGUGUUGGGGGGUUUCCGCCCCUCAGUGCUGCAGCUAACGCAUUAAGCACUCCGCCUGGGGAGUACGGUCGCAAGACUGAAACUCAAAUGAAUUGGCGGGG
Molecule: ribosomal RNA, 397 nt
Filed under: uncultured bacterium
Lineage: Bacteria
Description: partial 16S ribosomal RNA
Rfam family: Bacterial small subunit ribosomal RNA
Source: RNAcentral